RNAcentral lists this unclassified non-coding RNA (4822 nucleotides) under Polistes dominula (European paper wasp). RNAcentral describes it as "ubiquitin-conjugating enzyme E2 H, transcript variant X2". Lineage: Eukaryota; Metazoa; Arthropoda; Insecta; Hymenoptera; Vespidae. The record is from RNAcentral.
GGAGAGUCCAGUACGUCGAGGAGAGAGAGUAGUAUCGCAGAUGCAGUGAAGUCGUCCGUGGGUUGACAGGUUGUGCGUGGUGGGUGUGAAGGAGUGCGAGAGAGAGAGAGAGAGAGAGUAGUGUGAGGGGGGAAGAGAAGAAAAGAGAAGAGAAAAGAGCUAGCCGAUGGUAGCGAGAGAGAUAAAGAAACAGAAGAAAGGGACAUCGUUUUGUUGUGCGUCGAAGAGACGCACUUGAGAUCGUCAUUGCUCGUGUUUAUUCGUAGCAAACGACCGACGACGAAAUGAUUCUUUAAAGUUUACUGAGGAGUAUUCUCUUGAUCGUUUUAUAGGAGUGUUUGAGAACAAAGGGUGGAGGAUAAUACGACGACGACGACGACGACGACGACGACAACGACGACGACGACAACGACACGUCAAGUAAUUUCGGUCUAUCGGUCGAUCGGUCGUAUUGUUGGUCGUACUAUCGGUCGGUCGUACGGACGACGAGACGGAGGGGGUGAGAAAGAGAGCGAGAAAGAGAGCGAGCCUGACGGAGGGAUAGAGGGAAGGGACGGACGGAUUGACGGACGGAUGAUCUGACGUUAGUUUAAAUUCGGUUUGAUAUUCGGAGGAUCAGUCUAUUUUAUUGUUCACUUUGUGUAUCGUUUAUUUGAAACAACUCAAGAGGGAUUCAUUUUUUUGGUUUAAAGGAAGAAAGAAAUUUGAUUGGCCGUCGACGAUUGGACGUCGUUGUCAGUGUAUAUAUAGUGCGUCACUGUUUAUUUGAAAGUUUUUCUCCGUUUGUGGUAUUGGGGCACAUUAACGAUAUAAUAAUCAAAACGAAAGUCAAAACAACUAAGACGUCGAACGGUGAUUAUUGGGUGCGCGUGUCUUUGUUUUUCUUUCUCGGUGCUCGAUAUUCAGGAGGUUUGUUGGUGGUGGUGCGACGGACAGAGUACGUGUUACCGUGAAAAGGAGACGAGAACGAAGAGAAGGAGGAGGGAAAAAAGAAGAAGAAGAAGUAGAAGGCGAAGACGAAGAAAAGAACAAGAAGAGGAGUCAGUUGCUUUGGCGUUGGAGGAGGAGGAGGAGGAGGUGGAGGAGGAGGAGGCGGAGGAGCAGCAGCAGCAGCAGCAGCGGCAACAUUUACCCGUGAGUUCACGAAGCCGUGUGUGCUGGAUACGUAGCGGACUCUUGUGGAGGACCUUCGUGCGUGGAGCUACGAUCGAGCAGCACAGCUGAUCCAAGGACUCGGGUACGAAGGGCUCUUACACUUGCCAAUAACAAUCGACAAAUAUGUCGUCCCCCAGCGCUGGAAAACGACGUAUGGACACGGACGUUAUCAAACUAAUAGAAAGCAAACACGAGGUGACGAUUCUCGGAGGACUCAAUGAAUUUUCCGUCAAAUUCUACGGACCACGAGGGACACCUUACGAGGGUGGAAUAUGGAAGGUGAGGGUUCUCUUGCCCGAGCAUUAUCCCUUCAAAUCUCCUUCGAUCGGUUUUAUAAACAAGGUCUACCACCCUAACAUUGACGAAGUUUCAGGCACCGUGUGUCUUGAUGUUAUAAAUCAGGCGUGGACUGCCCUCUAUGACUUGUCAAAUAUUUUCGAAUCCUUCCUACCCCAAUUAUUAACAUAUCCCAAUCCCAUCGACCCUCUAAACGGCGAUGCAGCUGCUAUGUAUCUCCAUAAACCAGAGGAGUACAAGAAGAAGGUAGCUGAUUACGUGAGGAAGUAUGCAACGGAGGAGGCAUUGAGGGACCAGGAAAACGGUGGGACCGGGAACGGGAUGUCGUCCGAUAGCGAAUCAUCGAUGAGCGACUUUAGUGAAGACGAGGCGCAAGAUAUGGAAUUAACGAAUCGACAAAAUAUGUUUGAAAAGAAGGAAGAAAAACAAAACGAAAAAUGAAAUUUUAAAUAUAAAAUAUCGCGAUAGAACAACCAUGCCAUUUUGAUCGAUUUGACAUGAUGGAAUGUAGUCUAAAUAAGGUAGAAAAUGGGUACUACUAGUCCCGUCUUCCUUUUUCCUGCCAUCAAGCCAUCCCUGUACGUUUUCCUCGCAGGAAGUAGCAACGAGAGAGAGAGAGAGAGAAAGAGAGAGAGAAAGAGAGAGAGAGAGUUCUAUCGCGGACGACGAUGACAACAAAGUAACGUUCAAGUCAUAAUAUAAUAAACACAAACAUAAAGGUGCCUCUAUCGUAAUUUGAACGACGAAAAAUGAUCACAGUCGUCCAUGUGACGAAAAUAUUCAUGCGAAUCGACGAUAUCACUGCGAAGAAAGCUAUUUGAUUUUAAAUUCAAAUUCUCGUGUCAUUUUUCGAAGCCCCCAUCAGCAUUGCAUAAUCGAAUAAUAAACAAAAAGAUGACACAGGUGCGUGUUUUUAAAUUGUUCCAUGAAAUGUCACAAAACAAAUGAAACAAUAAAUAAGGAAAAAGUUCAAACGAUCUUGUCGGCUGAGAUUCGACGGUAUUCACUGAGAAAAAAAAAUCAUAUUUCCAAUAUAUAUAUAUAUAUAGUUUACGUGGAGGUUGAAUAAAAAAAAGUAGUCAAGCAAUCGACAAAACUGUGAUCUGUUAAUUUUUUCUUUAUCUAAUCAUUAUUAUGAAAUAUUAAAAUGUUCUAACGGAUUUGUAAUAUUUGCAAUCAUGCAUUAAUGUUAAGAUGCAUUUUAUCAUUAAAAUCAAAUAAUUUUGUUGGUUCUUUCGUCGCUUAUUAUAUAAAUCUGUAAAACCAAUUUACUUCUUAAUAGCUAAGCAAAGCCAAGCCAUUUUCGGAUAAACAGGAUAUUAAUUUAGUCCUAAUUUACGCGAAUCUGUUUUUCCAUCAAAAUAAACAUAUUUAUAUUUUUUAAUAUAUAAACAAGAAAAGAACAAUUUUUAUUAAAGCACAUUUCUAAAGAAAAGACAAAAACAAAAAAUAGAAAAGUUUUCAAAUGUUACUCAAAGGUAUUAGCCCCCCCCCUCCUCAGAAUGUUUUUUGCAUAGUCAUUUAUAAUUUGUUGGUCAAGUUUUGAAAAACCUCAGGGAUCUUAUUUUUCAAUGUAUCAAAGAUUUUUCCUGGUGAGAAUUGAAAGCACAGAUGAGAGAUGUUAACGUAAAGGAAAGAGUAAUAUUAACGUAAUAUUAACGUCAAGUAUAACAAAUAAUCCAUCUUUUCUGCUGAGAUUGGUAAUAAUUAAUUUGGAAGUAAGAAACAAAAAAACAAAAAAAGAGAAGAAGAAACAAAAGGAAUAAUAAUAAUGUAUUAAUGCCAAAAAUUGUGAAGUUAGAAGAGAAGAUAGAUUCGCCGGAAGCCAGCCGUAUAUGUACAAAUUAUGGUGCACAAUAAUCGUUGACGGAUAAAUAGUAUUUUGUUUUAAACUGAUCUCUUCUCUUCGUUUAAUUCAAGUUCUAAUACAAACAAAUUUAAUGAUUAACUUUAUACGAGAGACACGUAUAGCCAUGGUAUUUUAGUGCCUUUCGUGGGCAGAGAAAUGUGCCUUAUUCUAUGUGUCUCGUGAAAGAAUUGCUUACAAGAAAAAACAAAACAAACAAAAAAAAAAAGAACUAGUAUGAACGAGAAAUAAGUGUUCUGUGUUAAUUGAUUCUGUUAUUUUAUAUAUUUUUUACGUUAUUUAAACUGCUUGCUAAAUUGUAAUGUAUUAUAUUGGCAAAUUAUAAAUUAGAUGUACGUGCUAUGAUUAUUUCUAACAUUAUAGUAGAAAUUUUAUAUUGAUUAUAUUAAAUGUGCUAAUUAAAAAUGAAUAAUUAAAACAAGAAAUUGUAUUUAUGAUCGGACCAACUUCUUGAAGUUCUUAAUGAAAGCUUAUACGAAAAAAAGAGAGAGAGAGCGAGAGCGAGAGAGAGAGAGAGAGAGAGAGAGAGAGAGAGAGAAAGAGUAAGAGAGAAAGCUAUUAUUAAAAAAAGAAUGAAAAGAAAAUUCAAUUAAAAUUUUAUUGUGUUUGUUUUCGAAAUAUAACAACGCGUAGAUUCAUUAUUAUUAUUAUUUUUUUUUUGGUUUUCAUUUUAAUACACUAAACACACAACACAGGUAUACACACAUUUACACACGUACAUACUACGUACAAAUAUUAUAAUAAAUUUAGUAUUGUUAUUAUAUUGCUUCUCUCUUAUGUGAGUGCAUCCCAUCGAGGUGGAUUUUGUUAUUAAUCGAUGAUCGAAUUAUUCGUCGUUCAUUCUGUAAUUAAUUCAACAAAGAUUUAUGAAAUUAAUAUCUUAUGUCUAUCGAAAAAUAAACUUUUGUAUAAAAUUUCUUAUAUUUACGUUUUUAUAUAGAAAAAUUGUCGUCAUACGUUUAGAUCGAUAUUUUGCAAGAAGGUUGCACUCAUAUUUUAUACACGUUACAUUUUGUCUUUCGUAUAAGGAAAAAAACAAAACAAAUGAAUAUUAUCCGAACUUAUUAUAAAGUAAUGAAUUAAUUAAGACCUCUUCGUGAAUAAUGAAAUUAUUUUCAAUAAUUUAUUAUUACGGUGACUAUAGUCCAUUAUCAAUGUGUAUCCGUUUAUUUUAAAAUGUCGAUUAUUAUCAAGAAAUUAAUUAGAACAGCUUUAUACUUUUUGCAAUAUCAUACGUUAAAUAUUUUUAUUUUUAUUUAUAUUUGGUAUUUAACUUUUUUUUUCUUUUCUUGUAAAUUAUUUACUGGCGGUUUAUAUUUGAUUUCUCUCUUGUUUGCAUUUUAUCGAUCACUGUACGUUGAUAUAUGUGUGUUAUAAAAUUGGAUACACACAAAUUUUACUUCAUUUUUCGUCUUUGCACCACAUUGUUCAUCCUAAAUGCAAAUUAGACGAGAAGCAAAGUAAUUUCUUAUUACAUUAGGAAAGAAAUAAUAUUAUUUUUAU